This is a non-coding RNA of Benincasa hispida (wax gourd), 747 nucleotides long. NCBI's taxonomy places the organism in Eukaryota, Viridiplantae, Streptophyta, Magnoliopsida, Cucurbitales, Cucurbitaceae. The record is from RefSeq and is a predicted model, not a curated record.
AUUCUCACCAAUCUCUCUCAGUAUCACUUCACUUCCAAUGGCGAGCUCAGCUGUAAUUGGUUGGAGGAUUCUGUUCCUUCUAUUGGCCUCAACAAUGGUUGCAACUCUUGUUUACACAAUCGCCACUCAGGGCUCUCCUUUCCGCACAUAACAUCUCUCACGCAUUACUACACGCGCCUACGUUCUUUGGCAGUUGUGGCAAUUAUCAUCUCAGGAAUCCUUCGAAGAUAUCAUGUACAUGUUCUGAUCAAGAAUCCAAACAAAGGUUAGCAAGCUUAUAACCCAUUUGCAGCUGGAUGGUGGCAAUACUGAUUGAUUUCUAUAUAAAUGCCACAGUUUUGUCGAUCUGGAUGUUCUAUAAGGAAGAAUCGUGGCUUACUGCAAUUUUUUGGAUAGUUCUAUUGCUAAGUUUUGGGAGGUAAUCCGUCAUUUUUGUUGCUAAAGUCGCAUAUCUUUAUUUCGUUUGAACCCGUCAUCGCCAAGGGAACAAUGAUAAUACUUUUUUUUCCUACUGAUGAUCAUUUAUAAGUUCAUUUUCCAGCCUACUUCUCAUAAAGCAAGUUCAAAUGAAAAUUCUCUUAUGUUUGCAUAUGUACUUGCACCUUCAAAUUCUCUUUCUUUUUUCCCCUGAUAAGAAACGAAAUAUAUAUGGGAAAAAAAAGGAAAAAAAAGAAGAAGAAGAUACAGCCUAGGGGCUGGGGAAGAGGGUGUCCCCUCCCACAAACAAAAAAAAAAAAAAAAAAAAAA